This is a non-coding RNA of Biomphalaria pfeifferi, 669 nucleotides long. The record is from the annotation of a GenBank genome assembly. Lineage: Eukaryota; Metazoa; Mollusca; Gastropoda; Planorbidae.
UAUGAUACUGAAAGUUUAUUUUGUUUCUAUGAGAAAGAGAGCAUAUAUGUGGAAUGACAGUCACAUUCAUUGUUAUACCCAAACAAACAAACAAAAGUGUGUGCCAUUGCAUAACAGAAACUAUUGCAGCUUUCAUUGGAGUUGAUCAGCACACACAGAUAUAUAUAUAUAUAUACACAUUAGUUGAAACAGACCAGAAAGUCAAAUACUUCCAACUGUAAAAGCAAACUAUUCUAGCAUCAUCAAGUUUCAGUGUUGAAUUCAAAUGUUGAACAAAUCCAAAGUACACAGUUCAAAAUGUUUUUUUUAGAACAAGGAAUACACAUUUGAACAAAAGUCAAAACAAUAGUCAAAUUAUAUACUGGUAAAUAUAUAUGUGUGUGGCCUAAAGCAAAACUAGAUCUGUGUCGACUAUGCCUAUCAAUAAUACAAGACUAAUUGUAACAAAGAAAAUGAAAAGGUAAAAAGAAAAGAAAAAAAACAGCUGCAGAAAACAAUAGAGCCAAUAUAAUUUUCUAGGUACAGCUGGAAUUGAAUAUAGCUUUAGUUUGAAUUGACCACAGCUAAAUAGCACAAAACUAGAAUUGAAUACAGCUUUAAGUUUGAAUUGAGCACAGCUAAAUAACACAAAACUAGAAUACAGUUUAGUUUGAAUUGACCACAGCUAAA